This 253-nucleotide ribosomal RNA is filed under the name uncultured bacterium. RNAcentral describes it as "partial 16S ribosomal RNA". It matches the Rfam family "Bacterial small subunit ribosomal RNA", at positions 524 to 776 of the family's 1533-position model. The record is from RNAcentral.
UACGGGGGGAGCAAGCGUUGUUCGGAUUUACUGGGCGUAAAGGGCGCGUAGGCGGCACUGCAAGUCAGUUGUGAAAUCUCCGGGCUUAACCCGGAAAGGUCAGCCGAUACUGCGGGGCUAGAGUGCAGAAGGGGCAACUGGAAUUCUCGGUGUAGCGGUGAAAUGCGUAGAUAUCGAAAGGAACACCUGCGGCGAAGGCGGGUUGCUGGGCUGACACUGACGCUGAUGCGCGAAAGCUAGGGGAGCGAACGGG